Molecule: long non-coding RNA, 376 nt
Filed under: Setaria italica (foxtail millet)
Lineage: Eukaryota; Viridiplantae; Streptophyta; Magnoliopsida; Poales; Poaceae
Description: long non-coding RNA (SITA_LNC003774)
Source: RNAcentral
UCAUUUGAGAGCACACAAGUUCCCAUGUGAAUUGCGUUGGUGUUUAAGGAUCUGUUCAUCAGCAAACUUCUUGCUAUUUCAUAUGCACUGACAAAAAUUUCUGUGGAUCUGAAUAGAAUUGGGUUGCACCAAAAGUCAUGCAAAACAAAAAGAGAAAAAAGGGGGCAUUUCUCAAAUAAUUUGCCGCGAAUUUGUAAAAGGAAAAACACAAGUAACAGAAACACCAGGGUACCUCAAGUCAGGUUCAUAUCUUGCCCUGUCGUACUUGGAUAAUUCAGUGUACAGUUUGUCCUCUUCAGGCCUUGGUGUGUAUUUGAGGAUAUGCUCAUCACAUGGUUCGUCAUCUUCAUGUGUUGGUUGUUCAGUGGUUUGUUCU